AUUGACUAACUUAGAAUGUUAAAAAGUGUUUGUGCAUGUGUUAUUCAUGGAAAUAUUGGUCGGCCCAAAGAAAGGUCAAUAUUUAGCCGAAUACAUGUGCACAUGUGGUGAUAAAAGUGUGACGAUUAUUUGGUUUAAUGUGUGAUCAAUAAAUCGGUCCAAAGAAAGGUUUAUUGAUUGACACGUUGUUUUAUCGUCAAUGUUUGAUCACUAUGCCAAGAGUACCGCUUACAAGUCAAUAUCUCUGUCCAAAGACUGGAUAUUGAUGUUGUGCUUGGUAUCUUGUGAUGGGCCCUACCACUAUUUGAGAUUAUUAUUAUUAUUAUUUGCAUAUUAAAGAUAUUCAUGUGAGCUAUUC
RNAcentral lists this long non-coding RNA (358 nucleotides) under Olea europaea (common olive). RNAcentral's name for it is "long non-coding RNA (OEUR_LNC011154)". Lineage: Eukaryota; Viridiplantae; Streptophyta; Magnoliopsida; Lamiales; Oleaceae. The record is from RNAcentral.